AUUUUAGUAUAAAUAUGUUCAAUGCAAUAUCUGGGACAUACUUAUACUAAAA
Molecule: microRNA precursor, 52 nt
Filed under: Pteropus alecto (black flying fox)
Lineage: Eukaryota; Metazoa; Chordata; Mammalia; Chiroptera; Pteropodidae
Also listed under: 2 other names
Description: mir-1302 microRNA precursor family
Rfam family: mir-1302 microRNA precursor family
Source: Rfam by way of RNAcentral